Molecule: long non-coding RNA, 226 nt
Filed under: Elaeis guineensis (African oil palm)
Lineage: Eukaryota; Viridiplantae; Streptophyta; Magnoliopsida; Arecales; Arecaceae
Description: long non-coding RNA (EGUI_LNC057072)
Source: RNAcentral
UCCUUAUGUUUUCAUACUGUCGCUGAAGAUCAUUUGAUAUGGAUGCUAAUAUGUAACACUUUGUCUUGCUAUCUUCAUCAUCCAUUUCUCAAGUACGACUGUUGAUUAGGGGAUGGACAAGCAAGUAACACAGGCGCAUCCAAGUCAAGGAUAUGGGUGAGUUUCUCGAAGCUGAGAAUGAUUCUUAGAUUUUGGAGCCAGUCUUUAUAGUUGGUACCAGCCAACC